UUGUCUGGAUAAUUUUUUAUUAAUAAAGGAUAAGCGGGAAUAGCUAUUGACUGAAUGGAGGAGCAGAUGGAUUAAACUACCUGAAAAUGGCCAAUGUUGUUUAGGAUUUUUAAAAUAAGACUUCGCAGACAUUUCAGAAUAAAAAGGUUUAAAUCACUUUUCCUGUUGUUUUGAUAAUAAUUUUACUGUAUGAGAUGUACUUGAAUGCACUGUAAAAAGGAUUUGGAAAUCGGUCCUGGUUAGAGGGACUCCUCUCCACAGCCCCACUGUGUUGACACAUCUCAUUUGAUGGGGAGCGCUUUGGACUGAUUGAAUGCUGCAGGCAGCUGGAUUUGGAUUUUAGCCGAUUGUUCUCCAGUACCAGAGAUGUUUACAUUCACCUUGACGUUGUUUCAGUGCCGUCCACUGAUGGGAUGCCGCCCUGGGUGGAAAGCCACGUCACCCAUAUCACAAACCUCCCCUGCCCAGAGCCAAUCUCCCAGAUGUCAGGGGUCAGAUACAGAAGCUGUAGGCCGACUUGUUGCAGGCAGUUGCUGCAGACUAGACCUGCACAAACUCUGCAGGAACAGAUAAAUUUGUUCUACUUCAAUUUUCCAACAAGUUGCAAGACAAAGAACAAAAGUCUUUCAGGCAAGGACAUUUCAUACUUCACAAGAACUCAAGUGCAGCGCUUGUAGGAGAUCCUCUUAGCUCUCUCCCACUGCAGCAUUUGUCAGUGUGGUAACCAGGCCCACUUCAAACUUCUAACCACUCACACUACAAAACAAAAACGUUCUGCUCAGAAAAUGUGUCACGGACUAGUUGCAAGAGCUCCCAAAACAAGCUGCCAGAAAAGAAUGAUGUCAUUUUGUUCCUGCAGGCUGGGAGAGAGAAGUACUUUCUCUGAUGAUGUACAGGCCUCAACAGGACCUGAUAGUCUGGUUCUGCUGCAGGUUUCCCUCUGUUUAGUACUGUGACUCCUUUCCACUGUCGCCAAGUGCUUGUCCAGGAUGAGGGACUGCAGCAAAGUCAAUAACGACAUCAAGAUCGGCUGGUCUUCCUGAGACUGAUAACUUUUUAACACUUGGUAUUGUUCAGUCCAUUGAAAUUCACUACUCAUCAGAAUUUGGACUAAAUUGAGCUGUGUGUAAUCUGAUCUUAAUCUUACUACAUCACUGGAUUGUAAUGGAAUAAAUUUUGUUCAUCUGAUCAAUUUGAUUAAAUAAAUUACAUUUGGAUUCACUAAAAAACAUUUCAAUAUGUUUGUGAAUUGGCUCUGCAUAAAUAAACGGAACUGAAGGUUCAGGAGAACCUUUUCCAAUUAGUGCUACAUUCCUACAGGAGAUCUCGGCUGUUUUUAAGAAGAAAAACCUCUAAACAAAAACCUUAGUUGUUACCAGCCUGCUCCAGUCUCAGCCCUGGACAGAUGGCUGAGAGAUCAAGGUAGCUGCUUUUCUACCGAUGGGAUGAAAAAUACUCUAGAAAGUGUAUUCCUUUGAUAUAUAAUUAGGCCUGGCUUUGUUGGAGUUCUAAAUAAGAGGGAUUCUAUGAAAAAGCCAAAACAAUUCUUAAAAAAAUGUUUUCCUUCAGCUAGUCCAAACGCUGGUUUCCAAUAAGUGAGCUCAGAGAAGCUUUGAUGUUCUUUGCAGAGCUGGUGGAGCUCAAACAGAAGCAAACAGAGAGAUAACUUUCCAGGGGUUCAGGUGCUCUGUGUCUGUG
Molecule: long non-coding RNA, 1698 nt
Organism: Girardinichthys multiradiatus
Lineage: Eukaryota; Metazoa; Chordata; Actinopteri; Cyprinodontiformes; Goodeidae
Exons: 3
Source: RefSeq, a predicted model, not a curated record